ACUUCUACGGGAGGCAGCAGUGGGGAAUAUUGCACAAUGGGCGCAAGCCUGAUGCAGCCAUGCCGCGUGUAUGAAGAAGGCCUUCGGGUUGUAAAGUACUUUCAGCAGUGAGGAAGGUGGAUAUGUUAAUAGCAUAUUCAUUUGACGUUAGCUGCAGAAGAAGCACCGGCUAACUCCGUGCCAGCAGCCGCGGUAAUACGGAGGGUGCGAGCGUUAAUCGGAAUUACUGGGCGUAAAGCGCAUGCAGGUGGUUUGUUAAGUCAGAUGUGAAAGCCCGGGGCUCAACCUCGGAAUUGCAUUUGAAACUGGCAAACUAGAGUACUGUAGAGGGGGGUAGAAUUUCAGGUGUAGCGGUGAAAUGCGUAGAGAUCUGAAGGAAUACCGGUGGCGAAGGCGGCCCCCUGGACAGAUACUGACACUCAGAUGCGAAAGCGUGGGGAGCAAACAGGAUUAGAUACCCUGGUAGGC
Molecule: ribosomal RNA, 468 nt
Filed under: uncultured bacterium
Lineage: Bacteria
Description: bacterial SSU rRNA
Rfam family: Bacterial small subunit ribosomal RNA
Source: RNAcentral